Molecule: long non-coding RNA, 311 nt
Filed under: Medicago truncatula (barrel medic)
Lineage: Eukaryota; Viridiplantae; Streptophyta; Magnoliopsida; Fabales; Fabaceae
Description: lncRNA gene45120
Source: RNAcentral
AGUAUGUUCUUUUCCGCGAAAAGGGAGAGAGAAUCAACCCCAAACCCUCUCCUUGUCCAUCAAUAGAGAAGAAUCAAAAUUCAAACCCCUUAAUUCUCCCUAUGUGGGCAGCAACUUAGAAGGAGAAGAAGUAAUUAGAGAUGAAGAGAAGUCACGAGAAUGGAAGCUUGGAAUUGUAGAGAUCAAAGUCAAUUUGGAAAUUUCAUCAAUCUCUUCUUAAGAGAGCCUAAGGUAUAGAAGUGCACAUUGGAUGAUUGAGGAGUAUUUAUAGCUCGUCAUCCAUCCAUGUCUCAGUCCGAAUCGGAUCACGU